UACGUAGGGGGCAAGCGUUGUCCGGAAUCAUUGGGCGUAAAGGGCGCGUAGGUGGCCUGAUAAGGGUGUGGUGAAAGUCCGGGGCUCAACCCCGGAUCUGCCGUGCCGACUGUUGGGCUGGAGUACUGUAGGGGCAGGCGGAAUUCCGGGUGUAGCGGUGGAAUGCGUAGAGAUCCGGAGGAAGACCGGUGGCGAAGGCGGCCUGCUGGGCAGUUACUGACACUGAGGCGCGACAGCGUGGGGAGCAAACAGGG
Molecule: ribosomal RNA, 254 nt
Filed under: uncultured bacterium
Lineage: Bacteria
Description: partial 16S ribosomal RNA
Rfam family: Bacterial small subunit ribosomal RNA
Source: RNAcentral